RNAcentral lists this ribosomal RNA (844 nucleotides) under uncultured bacterium. Its description in RNAcentral is "bacterial SSU rRNA". It matches the Rfam family "Bacterial small subunit ribosomal RNA", at positions 584 to 1429 of the family's 1533-position model. The record is from RNAcentral.
AAAGUCUGNAGUAAAAGGCUAUGGCUCAACCAUAGUGUGCUCUGGAAACUNUCUGACUUGAGUGCAGAAGGGGAGAGUGGAAUNCCAUGUGUAGCGGUGAAAUGCGUAGAUAUAUGGAGGANCACCAGUGGCGAAAGCGGCUCUCUGGUCUGUCACUGACGCUGAGGCUCGAAAGCGUGGGUAGCGAACAGGAUUAGAUACCCUGGUAGUCCACGCCGUAAACGAUGAGUGCUAGGUGUUAGGCCCUUUCCGGGGCUUAGUGCCGGAGCUAACGCAAUAAGCACUCCGCCUGGGGAGUACGACCGCAAGGUUGAAACUCAAAGGAAUUGACGGGGGCCCGCACAAGCGGUGGAGCAUGUGGUUUAAUUCGAAGCAACGCGAAGAACCUUACCAGGUCUUGACAUCCCGAUGCUAUUCUUAGAGAUAGGAAGUUACUUCGGUACAUCGGAGACAGGUGGUGCAUGGUUGUCGUCAGCUCGUGUCGUGAGAUGUUGGGUUAAGUCCCGCAACGAGCGCAACCCUUAUUGUUAGUUGCCAUCAUUAAGUUGGGCACUCUAGCGAGACUGCCGGUAAUAAACCGGAGGAAGGUGGGGAUGACGUCAAAUCAUCAUGCCCCUUAUGACCUGGGCUACACACGUGCUACAAUGGUCGGUACAACGAGUUGCGAGCCGGUGACGGCAAGCUAAUCUCUGAAAGCCGAUCUCAGUUCGGAUUGGAGGCUGCAACUCGCCUCCAUGAAGUCGGAAUCGCUAGUAAUCGCGGAUCAGCACGCCGCGGUGAAUACGUUCCCGGGCCUUGUACACACCGCCCGUCACACCACGAGAGAUUGUAACACCCGAAGUCG